Molecule: ribosomal RNA, 292 nt
Filed under: uncultured bacterium
Lineage: Bacteria
Description: partial 16S ribosomal RNA
Rfam family: Bacterial small subunit ribosomal RNA
Source: RNAcentral
GUGUCAGCCGCCGCGGUAAAACGUAGGAGGCGAGCGUUAUCCGGAUUUACUGGGUGUAAAGCGCGUGCAGGCGGACGAGUAAGUUGGAUGUGAAAGCUCCCGGCUUAACUGGGAGAGGUCGUUCAAGACUGCUGGUCUGGAGCGUGGUAGGGGAAGGCGGAAUUCCGGGUGUAGUGGUGAAAUGCGUAGAUAUCCGGAGGAACACCAGUGGCGAAAGCGGCCUUCUGGACCACGACUGACGCUCAGACGCGAAAGCUAGGGGAGCAAACGGGAUUAGAUACCCGAGUAGUCC